Molecule: non-coding RNA, 299 nt
Organism: Schizosaccharomyces pombe (fission yeast)
Lineage: Eukaryota; Fungi; Ascomycota; Schizosaccharomycetes; Schizosaccharomycetales; Schizosaccharomycetaceae
Source: the annotation of a GenBank genome assembly
AAUUGUUUCUGAAUACGAGUUAAGAGAUAAAGACGAUGAUUGUCUAACAAAACAUUGUAGAAAUUCUUCAAAAGGGGUUCAUUUCCAGUCAUCUGCGUCAAAGAACUAACCAAUAUUUUCUUAUCCUCACGAGUCAACCAAGGACUAGAAAUGUAUUGUUCAAAUUCCGGUCUCUGUUGAAGAACACCAGACAGUUUAUUUAAGGCCUUCUCAACAUUGUCCAACUUGGAUUCUUUUACUGCAGCGGUAUACAGAGAAGAAGCAUAAGAACCUAAAUAAGAGAAAAGAGUUAAUUACCA